This 496-nucleotide ribosomal RNA is filed under the name uncultured bacterium. Its description in RNAcentral is "partial 16S ribosomal RNA". It matches the Rfam family "Bacterial small subunit ribosomal RNA", at positions 30 to 523 of the family's 1533-position model. The record is from RNAcentral.
AUUGAACGCUGGCGGAAUGCUUUACACAUGCAAGUCGAACGGUAGAGGGGGCAACCCCUCGAGAGUGGCGAACGGGUGAGUAAUAUAUCGGAACGUGCCCAGUCGUGGGGGAUAACGUAGCGAAAGUUACGCUAAUACCGCAUACGAUCUACGGAGGAAAGCGGGGGAUCGCAAGACCUCGCGCGAUUGGAGCGGCCGAUAUCAGAGUAGGUAGUUGGUGGGGUAAAGGCUCACCAAGCCAACGAUCUGUAGCUGGUCUGCGAGGACGACCAGCCAUGCGGGAACUGAGACACGGUGCAGACUCCUACGGGAGGCAGCAGUGGGGAAUUUUGGACAAUGGACGAUAGUCAGAUUCAGCCAUUCCGCGUGCAGGAUGAAGGCCCUCGGGUUGUAAACUGCUUUUGUACGGAACGAAAAGGUUUCCAUUAAUACUGGGAGCUCAUGACGGUACCGUAAGAAUAAGCACCGGCUAACUACGUGCCAGCCGCCGCAGUAA